RNAcentral lists this ribosomal RNA (560 nucleotides) under uncultured bacterium. RNAcentral's name for it is "bacterial SSU rRNA". It matches the Rfam family "Bacterial small subunit ribosomal RNA", at positions 339 to 917 of the family's 1533-position model. The record is from RNAcentral.
CUACGGGAGGCAGCAGUAGGGAAUCUUAGACAAUGGGGGCAACCCUGAUCUAGCCAUGCCGCGUGUGUGAUGAAGGCCCUAGGGUCGUAAAGCACUUUCGCCAGAGAUGAUAAUGACAGUAUCUGGUAAAGAAACCCCGGCUAACUCCGUGCCAGCAGCCGCGGUAAUACGGAGGGGGUUAGCGUUGUUCGGAAUUACUGGGCGUAAAGCGCGCGUAGGCGGACCAGAAAGUUGGGGGUGAAAUCCCGGGGCUCAACCCCGGAACGGCCUCCAAAACUCCUGGUCUUGAGUUCGAGAGAGGUGAGUGGAAUUCCGAGUGUAGAGGUGAAAUUCGUAGAUAUUCGGAGGAACACCAGUGGCGAAGGCGGCUCACUGGCUCGAUACUGACGCUGAGGUGCGAAAGUGUGGGGAGCAAACAGGAUUAGAUACCCUGGUAGUCCACACCGUAAACGAUGAAUGCCAGUCGUCGGGUAGCAUGCUGCUCGGUGACACACCUAACGGAUUAAGCAUUCCGCCUGGGGAGUACGGUCGCAAGAUUAAAACUCAAAGGAAUUGACGGA